AACGAACGCUGGCGGCAUGCCUAACACAUGCAAGUCGAACGAGACCUUCGGGUCUAGUGGCGCACGGGUUCGUAACGCGUGGGAACCUGCCCUUAGGUUCGGAAUAACUCCCCGAAAGGGGUGCUAAUACCGGAUAAUGUCUUCGGACCAAAGAUUUAUCGCCUUUGGAUGGGCCCGCGUUGGAUUAGCUAGUUGGUAGGGUAAAAGCCUACCAAGGCGACGAUCCAUAGCUGGUCUGAGAGGAUGAUCAGCCACACUGGGACUGAGACACGGCCCAGACUCCUACGGGAGGCAGCAGUGGGGAAUAUUGGACAAUGGGCGAAAGCCUGAUCCAGCAAUGACGCGUGAGUGAUGAAGGCAUUAGGGUUGUAAAGCUCUUUUAACCGGGAUGAUAAUGACAGUACCGGGAGAAUAAGCUCCGGCUAACUCCGUG
This 433-nucleotide ribosomal RNA is filed under the name uncultured bacterium. Its description in RNAcentral is "partial 16S ribosomal RNA". It matches the Rfam family "Bacterial small subunit ribosomal RNA", at positions 29 to 507 of the family's 1533-position model. The record is from RNAcentral.